RNAcentral lists this ribosomal RNA (253 nucleotides) under uncultured bacterium. RNAcentral describes it as "partial 16S ribosomal RNA". It matches the Rfam family "Bacterial small subunit ribosomal RNA", at positions 524 to 776 of the family's 1533-position model. The record is from RNAcentral.
UACGUAGGGGGCGAGCGUUGUCCGGAAUUACUGGGCGUAAAGGGCGUGUAGGCGGUUUUUUAAGUUAGAAGUGAAAACUCGGGGCUUAACCCCGAGAGUGCUUCUAAAACUGGAAGACUUGAGUGCAGGAGAGGAAAGUAGUAUUCCUGGUGUAGCGGUGAAAUGCGUAGAUAUCAGGAGGAAUACUCGUGGCGAAGGCGGCUUUCUGGCCUGUAACUGACGCUGAGGCGCGAAAGCGUGGGGAGCAAACAGG